RNAcentral lists this unclassified non-coding RNA (260 nucleotides) under Hevea brasiliensis (rubber tree). The record is from RNAcentral. Lineage: Eukaryota; Viridiplantae; Streptophyta; Magnoliopsida; Malpighiales; Euphorbiaceae.
CGCAGGACUCUACGGCCGUAUCUUCAGCAUAUUCAUGCCGUCUCAGAUGAUAUCGAACAGCGAAGAAGUGAAUUGAAAUUGUUUAUCAAUAAUGGGCCGUCGGAAAAUCCUAUAAGCGGACGGUGGAGAUCUGUUCCGUUUACUCAUCAUUCUACUUUGGACACCAUAGCCAUGGACGCAGACCUCAAGAACAAGGUAAAAUCGGAUCUUGAAAAUUUUGUUAAAUCCCAAAACUACUAUCACAAAAUGGGCCGUGCCUG